UGGCCAAUGAGCUCCAGGCGUUCUC
Molecule: non-coding RNA, 25 nt
Filed under: Rattus norvegicus (Norway rat)
Lineage: Eukaryota; Metazoa; Chordata; Mammalia; Rodentia; Muridae
Source: RNAcentral